CAAAGAGUAUGAAUCCUUGCAGUCACGAAAGCUUCAAAUCUAUAAUUCUAUCCCUCUUGCGCCAUCAGUAUUGCAUAACGAGAUGAAGAAUUGAUUAUCUGUCUCUUGUCACAGAGCCAGUGCAACUCCUUCGUGUUUGAGAAUGUACGUACGUGUGUUGGACUUCUCUCACACCGCACGUAUCCAACCGUGAUAAUCGGAGGUGCGGGGGGAAGGACAACAACUUAAACACAAAAAGCAGUUGUAAAAUGCUGCAGCAGUGCAGUUAAUGCGGCAGCAGAGGGCAGUGCAGUCUUGCAAAUGUGACCAGCGUGGUGAAGUAUGGUGCAGUGACCACCACCCCAGGAGCCGCACAGAGGUGGAGGGGAGGCAACCAUCCAUCAUCAUGCACUGAGCUCAUGGUACAACUCAACGCAGCGAUACUCAAAAUCUGCUUCGGACAUCAAUCUCUCGAACUGUAACAGCCUCACGUGGGUGCGUGACGUCAUUUAUGGACGGUACCCUACACGGUCGAGGAGGAAACAGCAAUAGCGAAAGCAGCCGGUGCAGCAGACGAAGAAUUAGCAACGAACACUGUGGAGUCAAAUCUCGACUUAAAGCUUUCGUGAUUGCAGGAAUUCAUACUGGUAGGAACCUCCUGGUUACACCAGCCCACAGGGGAUUAUUGUGUCCG
Long non-coding RNA from Lethenteron reissneri (Far Eastern brook lamprey), 673 nucleotides. RefSeq lists it as uncharacterized. NCBI's taxonomy places the organism in Eukaryota, Metazoa, Chordata, Hyperoartia, Petromyzontiformes, Petromyzontidae. The record is from RefSeq and is a predicted model, not a curated record.